This 503-nucleotide ribosomal RNA is filed under the name Fusarium oxysporum. RNAcentral's name for it is "eukaryotic LSU rRNA". The stretch from base 137 to 290 matches the Rfam family "5.8S ribosomal RNA". The record is from RNAcentral. Lineage: Eukaryota; Fungi; Ascomycota; Sordariomycetes; Hypocreales; Nectriaceae.
AACUCCCAACCCCUGUGACAUACCACUUGUUGCCUCGGCGGAUCAGCCCGCUCCCGGUAAAACGGGACGGCCCGCCAGAGGACCCCUAAACUCUGUUUCUAUAUGUAACUUCUGAGUAAAACCAUAAAUAAAUCAAAACUUUCAACAACGGAUCUCUUGGUUCUGGCAUCGAUGAAGAACGCAGCAAAAUGCGAUAAGUAAUGUGAAUUGCAGAAUUCAGUGAAUCAUCGAAUCUUUGAACGCACAUUGCGCCCGCCAGUAUUCUGGCGGGCAUGCCUGUUCGAGCGUCAUUUCAACCCUCAAGCACAGCUUGGUGUUGGGACUCGCGUUAAUUCGCGUUCCCCAAAUUGAUUGGCGGUCACGUCGAGCUUCCAUAGCGUAGUAGUAAAACCCUCGUUACUGGUAAUCGUCGCGGCCACGCCGUUAAACCCCAACUUCUGAAUGUUGACCUCGGAUCAGGUAGGAAUACCCGCUGAACUUAAGCAUAUCAAUAAGCGGGGGGA